This 597-nucleotide long non-coding RNA is filed under the name Mytilus galloprovincialis (Mediterranean mussel). The record is from RNAcentral. Lineage: Eukaryota; Metazoa; Mollusca; Bivalvia; Mytilida; Mytilidae.
AUUUUAUAAUUAAGUCUCCCAAACAAAGUUUGGAGACUUAUUGUUUUUGCUCAGUUCUUAUUAUUUUUAUGUCACCCGAUCGACAAUGUCGGGUGACAUAUUGCUUUUCCUCCGUUUCUUUGUUAUUAUGGCACCCUCAACGGAGUUGGGGUGACAUAUUGUUAUUGUUCGGUUCUUUUUUUCUUAUUAUGUCACCCGAUCGACAAUGUCGGGUGACAUAUUGCUAUUCCUCUGUUUCUUUUUCACUAUUAUUAUUAUUAUUAUUAUUCUUCCACCUAGUUUUGUCCGGCAGUUUUCUCAGAGCCAAAGGAACCAAUCUGAAUGAUGGUGCACUAUAACAAGGAACCCUGAAAUUUCCAGGUUGCAGUGGUCAACUUUGGAACUAAAAAAUGGCUGCCAUCACCAUGGAAACCGAAAAAUAAUGGAAAAUUCCAGUUUUUGGUUUUGAUGAAUUAUUUGGAAAUGCUUUAACUUAGAAUCAUUAUAUUUUGAUACAAUGUAGGUGCCGGGCAUAUACUGGUUUUGGAUGAUUUUGGCAAUCAUUGGAACUGCUAUGUUGCCAUGGAUACUACACCAAAAAUUUCAAAAAUAUGGAAA